CAUAGCUGGGUGAUGUCAGGGCGGAAUGCCAUGACAUCACAGAUGUGAGGGGGCCCUGCAGCUGCUGUUUCUUGGCAACCACUUUUAUCAACAAGACACCAGUGUGGGGAGAGAGGGAAGGCAGUUCUGACCUAGGAGGUUUUUUCCUGCCUUCCCUACUCUCCUGUCCCAGGCAGGCAGAAAAAGGGGUCCCAGACAGAAAAAAUAUAUAGGAGAUAGCCCUCCCCCCCCCUGGGGGGGAUAGACAGGGAUUCCAAAGCUUAGUAGGAUUUAUUGUGAUAAAAUAAAAAGGGGGGUUGGGAAUCCAGGUACUGAGGAGAAGACCAAGACCAAGACUGUGAAGGUGAAAGGUCGCACCUUAGACCUGGCACAACAGAAGUCAAGGGCACACCUUUGGAGGACAAAGGAUUCUUGUGGUGAUUUCAAGCUGCUCGGGUUUACUCUGACAUCUUGGCUCCACCUGCUGAAGGCAAAGGGCAAGUUUUUGAAGCUUGACGAUGAGGGAUGGAUACUCUAUGGAGACUCAUAAUCAAGCACUCCCUGUUCAUCCAACUGUUGCCAAGACAACCGCCUACCACCUUUGCCACCACCACGAGCACCACCACACCAGUGGUGGCCCCUAUUAUACCAGCCACUGGGUUCCCGUUGACACUGUUCUUCUUCUGCAUCCUGUGAUUCAGAGGAAAAGAAGGGCUCCUAAUUUGCCACCAACCACAGGCUUUAGUUUCUUGUCAGUAUUCUUCUUAUUAUAAUAAAGUGUUAAAUGACCAAA
This is a long non-coding RNA of Monodelphis domestica (gray short-tailed opossum), 772 nucleotides long. RefSeq lists it as uncharacterized. Lineage: Eukaryota; Metazoa; Chordata; Mammalia; Didelphimorphia; Didelphidae. The record is from RefSeq and is a predicted model, not a curated record.